UCCGCCUCAUGACUCUGGUAAGUGAAGACCUUUUUGUGUCUUCGCUUCACAAGAAAGAUUGAAUGACGCCGAUGUUUGGUUGAAGACUCAUUUUACCGUUUUAUGUGCUUGUGUUAUGAUGCUAGUACUUCUAUUUACUAUGUGUGUGUGUGGGUAUGGAUGAAUGUAAUUUGAAUCUUCUGGCUUUGGGUUACGGUGUGAACACGAACCGUCGUGUCGUUUGGUUGCUUUUGUAUUUCGAUCACUCCUGUUGUGAUUCUUUUUUU
This 266-nucleotide long non-coding RNA is filed under the name Hordeum vulgare. RNAcentral's name for it is "long non-coding RNA (HVUL_LNC018328)". Lineage: Eukaryota; Viridiplantae; Streptophyta; Magnoliopsida; Poales; Poaceae. The record is from RNAcentral.